GGCAACGUGCUUCCGUGUUGAAAUGAUUAGUCUGAGGCAGACUUAAACUGGCCCACAGAUCAAGAGGCUGCUGGAGACCAACUGGUCAUAACAACAUGAAAGUUAAAUGGUUGUCUCCAACAACAUCCCGUUUUUAUAGCCACAAUGUGGCAUGUGCCGUGGAUUUAAGGUAUUGGAUUAGAAAAAAAGAGUCAGUUACUGUUUGUGUAUCUGACCUCAUUGGAAUCAGUCAUUCAGAAGCAGGCUGUGAACAAGAGCUUUUGCAAUUUAGCAUUUACUGUUUUUCAGCUCCCUGGAGCUUGUGUCAGUCUGUGGAAUCUCCAGAGAGCCUUCAUUCAUGUCUGACAGCUUGCCAUGGGAGGAUUGUCAUGUGGAACAGAGUCAGCAUGUCUUUCUUCUACCCCACUCUGGCCUGGGGUUUGAAAAGAAGUCCAUGGCUACAAACACCACUCACCUCUGUUGAUUGUCUUUUGUAUCAGACAAGAUCGUCUAUCACACAAAAAUUUCUUAUCUUGGGAUGAUUGGGGGAACAAAUGUGAAGGAAACUGUCUGGAGAUUGCUCAGCAAGACCAUCAACAACACCCUGGCUCAACAAAUGAACUGGACUGGUGUAAAUGGAAAGAGAGCUUUGAAAAACAUUAAAGGAUGUCGUUUUUGCUAAGUGUUUUUAAUUUUUUUUUAGUAAGGUGCUGUUAGGAGGAACAGCCUGACGUCUAGAAUAACGGAUGAGGAAAUUGAGGCGAUCGUAAAAAGAUGGUUCCAGAGCCAGAGCAGGAAGACGGAGAACAAGUGAAAAUAAAACAAAAAAAUGUACUCUUAACAGCCAGGCCCGGACUGGCCAUCUGGACGAUCUGAAGUGGACUGGUCGAUGGAUUUUGGGCCGUUGUCAGUGAAUUAAAAAAUAAAAUAAAAAAUUAAAUGAUGGCUUUAGUAGUCGUCAACGAGAUGUGCACGAAAUACACGUCAGUCAUAUACAUCCCCCCACCUGAAGAGAUCCCGCAAACCCCUAACGCCGCCCCCCUCCCCCUCGUCAACGAGUAUGUGUGGGCUGCCGUCCACGAUCAAUGUAGCGCAUAGACAGCUGAAAUAAGCCAAAAAGUAUUUACUUGUGUAGCCUACUAUAUGUACUGUACUUUUUUCCUUUACACAACCCAAAUAUACAUAGACGCAAACAAAAGUUUUCUGCAUUAUUCUUAAAUUAACAUGCUUUUGGGAUAUUAAUUUGUUAAGCGUGUUCAUAAAAUUAUGUUUUCGCUUAUGAGUUGUAACGAGCUUGGAGUAUAUGUGUUUUCAUACUAACUUUUGUACUUGAUAAAAUUAAUUUAAAAA
This is a long non-coding RNA of Acipenser ruthenus (sterlet), 1329 nucleotides long. RefSeq lists it as uncharacterized. The record is from RefSeq and is a predicted model, not a curated record. The transcript has 5 exons. Lineage: Eukaryota; Metazoa; Chordata; Actinopteri; Acipenseriformes; Acipenseridae.